GAGUAACACGUGACUAACCUACCUUCGAGUGGGGGAUAACCUCGGGAAACCGGGGCUAAUACCGCAUAACAUCUACGGAUCAAAGGAGCAAUUCGCUUGAAGAGGGGGUCGCGGCUGAUUAGCUAGUUGGCGGGGUAACGGCCCACCAAGGCUUUGAUCGGUAGCCGGCCUGAGAGGGCGCACGGCCACACUGGAACUGAAACACGGUCCAGACUCCUACGGGAGGCAGCAGUGGGGAAUUUUGCGCAAUGGGGGAAACCCUGACGCAGCAACGCCGCGUGGAGGAUGAAGUCCCUUGGGACGUAAACUCCUUUCGACCGGGAAGAUUAUGACGGUACCGGUGGAAGAAGCCCCGGCUAACUUCGUGCCAGCAGCCGCGGUAAUACGAGGGGGGCAAGCGUUGUUCGGAAUUAUUGGGCGUAAAGGGUGCGUAGGCGGUACGGUAAGUCACCUGUGAAACCUCUAGGCUUAACCUAGAGCCUGCAGGCGAAACUGCCGUGCUUGAGUAUGGGAGAGGUGCGUGGAAUUCCCGGUGUAGCGGUGAAAUGC
This 549-nucleotide ribosomal RNA is filed under the name uncultured bacterium. RNAcentral's name for it is "bacterial SSU rRNA". It matches the Rfam family "Bacterial small subunit ribosomal RNA", at positions 108 to 689 of the family's 1533-position model. The record is from RNAcentral.